Dama dama (fallow deer) is the source of this 1778-nucleotide RNA transcript. It is a transcript of the gene named nucleophosmin 1, with no coding region annotated. The transcript is spliced from 12 exons. NCBI's taxonomy places the organism in Eukaryota, Metazoa, Chordata, Mammalia, Artiodactyla, Cervidae. The record is from RefSeq and is a predicted model, not a curated record.
CGGGGAGCCCGCGUCCUUUCCCUGGUGUGAUUCCGUCCUGCGCGGCUGCUCUUUCGAAUAGUAGUCGUUUAAUUCCGUCCGGCUUCUCUCCCGCAUAAGUGCGUGCCGCCAACCCAUGGAGGAUUCAAUGGACAUGGACAUGAGCCCCUUGAGGCCCCAGAACUAUCUUUUCGGUUGUGAACUAAAGGCUGACAGAGAUUAUCACUUCAAGGUGGAUAAUGAUGAAAAUGAGCACCAGUUAUCUUUAAGAACGGUCAGUUUAGGGGCUGGAGCAAAGGAUGAGUUACACAUUGUUGAAGCAGAGGCAAUGAAUUAUGAAGGCAGUCCAAUUAAAGUAACACUGGCAACUUUGAAAAUGUCUGUACAGCCAACGGUUUCUCUUGGGGGCUUUGAAAUUACACCACCUGUGGUCUUACGGUUGAAGUGUGGUUCAGGGCCUGUGCAUAUCAGUGGACAGCACUUAGUAGCUGUGGAGGAAGAUGCAGAGUCAGAAGAUGAAGAGGAGGAGGAUGUGAAACUCCUAAGUAUAUCUGGAAAGCGGUCUGCUCCUGGAAGUGGUAGCAAGGUUCCCCAGAAAAAAGUAAAGCUUGCUGCUGAUGAAGAUGACGAUGAUGAUGAAGAUGACGACGAUGAUGAUGAAGACGAUGAUGAUGAUGACGAUUUUGAUGAGGAAGUUGAAGAAAAAGCUCCAGUAAAGAAAUCUGUACGAGAUACUCCAGCCAAAAAUGCACAAAAAUCGAACCAAAAUGGAAAAGACUCAAAACCAUCAACACCAAGAUCAAAAGGUCAAGAAUCCUUCAAAAAACAGGAAAAAACACCUAAAACACCGAAAGGACCUAGCUCUGUAGAAGACAUUAAAGCAAAGAUGCAAGCAAGUAUAGAAAAAGCGCAUUGAACAGUCCUGGGCACUACUGGUAAAUUAAGCCCAAAGAUGGGGAGAGGAAAAGGAGAGACACAUAUAGUCCAAACUGAGUAUCAUCAGCAGUCCAGACUGAAGUCUUCUGUUUUAAUCUCAAUCCCCUUUCCUGAUUGGCCACCCACCCAUGCCCCUUCCAGGCUGGAAGCAAUCAAUUGAUCUCCUGAAACACUUUGCCUGCUAUGAUUCAGUGAACCUUAUACUUUGCUUUCUAUUUGUGCAAUUGCCUCACCUCUGACCAUGUAUUUCCCUAGCUGCUCAAUAAAUAUUUGAAUCAAAUAACAGAUGUGACAGUAAUUUAAAAAUGUAAAUUAAAGCCAGGUUUAUUUUCUAGGUGAUAAGGCAGUUAAGAAAAGAAUUCACCACACCUGAAACUCUUUUGAUCUUUCUAAAAUGCAUAGAAGAUUCAGGGUGGUUCCCUUCCCAAAGUGGAAGCCAAGUUUAUCAAUUAUGUGAAGAAUUGUUUCCGGAUGACUGACCAGGAGGCUAUUCAAGAUCUCUGGCAGUGGAGGAAGUCUCUUUAAGAAAAUAGUUUAAACAGUUUGUUAAAAAUUUUCCGUCUUAUUUCAUUUCUGUAACAGUUGAUAUCUGGCUGUCCUUUUUAUAAUGCAGAGUGAGAACUUUCCCUACCGUGUCUGAUAAAUGUUGUCCACGUUCCAUUGCCAAGAAUGUGUUGUCCAAAAUGCCUGUUUAGUUUUUAAAGAUGGAACUCCACCCUUUGCUUGGUUUUAAGUAUGUAUGGAAUGUUAUGAUAGGAAUAGUAGUAGUGGUGGUCAGACAGAUGGAAAUGGUGGGGAGACAAAAAUAUACAUGUGAAAUAAACUCAGUAUUUUAAUAAAGUAGCCCUGUUUCUCUUUCUUAA